GGGGUUGUGGCUCAGUGGUAGUGUGCUUGCGUAUCACGCAUGAGGCAAUGGGUACGAUUCUCAUCACCACA
This 71-nucleotide transfer RNA is filed under the name Marmota monax (woodchuck). RNAcentral's name for it is "tRNA.Asp". The record is from RNAcentral. Lineage: Eukaryota; Metazoa; Chordata; Mammalia; Rodentia; Sciuridae.